UUWUUKGGAUAACUGUGGUAAUUCUAGAGCUAAUACAUGCACCAAAGGCCCUGACCUUACGGAAAGGGUGCAUUUAUUAGAACAAAACCAAGCGACUUCGGUCGUUUUUUGUUGACUCAGAAUAACUAAGCUGAUCGCAUGGUCUUGCACCGGCGACGUGUCUUUCAAGUAUCUGCCUUAUCAACUUUCGAUGGUAGUGUAUCUGACUACCAUGGUGGUGACGGGUAACGGAGGAUAAGGGUUUGACUCCGGAGAAGGGGCCUGAGAAAUGGCCACUACGUCUAAGGAUGGCAGCAGGCGCGCAAAUUACCCACUCUCAGAACGAGGAGGUAGUGACGAAAAAUAACGAGACCGUUCUCUACGAGGCCGGUCAUCGGAAUGGGUACAAUCUAAACCCUUUAACGAGUAUCUAUGAGAGGGCAAGUCUGGUGCCAGCAGCCGCGGUAAUUCCAGCUCUCAAAAUGCAUAGAAUUAUUGCUGCGGUUAAAAAGCUCGUAGUUGGAUCUGUGCUGAGGACCUGGUCCACCUUCGGGUGCGUACUAGGCUCCACGGCUUUUCUGCCGGUUUUCCCGUCAUGGCUUUCAHCGGCUGUGGCGGGUGGCUGGUGAUUUUACUUUGAACAAAUCAGAGUGCUUCAAACAGGCGUUUAGCUUGAAUGUUUUUGCAUGGAAUAAUAGAAGAGGAUUUCGGUUCUAUUUUAUUGGUUUUAUAGACUGAAAUAAUGGUUAACAUAKACCAMCGGGGDMCAUUCCUACAGUAGCRUARAAGUGAAAUA
Molecule: ribosomal RNA, 775 nt
Filed under: Ditylenchus weischeri
Lineage: Eukaryota; Metazoa; Nematoda; Chromadorea; Rhabditida; Anguinidae
Description: SSU rRNA
Rfam family: Eukaryotic small subunit ribosomal RNA
Source: RNAcentral